UUUAUUGGAGAGUUUGAUCCUGGCUCAGGAUGAACGCUGGCGGCGUGCCUAAUACAUGCAAGUCGAGCGAAUGGAUUAAGAGCUUGCUCUUAUGAAGUUAGCGGCGGACGGGUGAGUAACACGUGGGUAACCUGCCCAUAAGACUGGGAUAACUCCGGGAAACCGGGGCUAAUACCGGAUAACAUUUUGAACCGCAUGGUUCGAAAUUGAAAGGUGGCUUCGGCUGCCACUUAUGGAUGGACCCGCGUCGCAUUAGCUAGUUGGUGAGGUAACGGCUCACCAAGGCAAUGAUGCGUAGCCGACCUGAGAGGGUGAUCGGCCACACUGGGACUGAGACACGGCCCAGACUCCUACGGGAGGCAGCAGUAGGGAAUCUUCCGCAAUGGACGAAAGUCUGACGGAGCAACGCCGCGUGAGUGAUGAAGGCUUUCGGGUCGUAAAACUCUGUUGUUAGGGAAGAACAAGUGCUAGUUGAAUAAGCUGGCACCUUGACGGUACCUAACC
This 504-nucleotide ribosomal RNA is filed under the name Bacillus anthracis (anthrax bacterium). Its description in RNAcentral is "bacterial SSU rRNA". It matches the Rfam family "Bacterial small subunit ribosomal RNA", at positions 1 to 484 of the family's 1533-position model. Lineage: Bacteria; Bacillati; Bacillota; Bacilli; Caryophanales; Bacillaceae. The record is from RNAcentral.